Molecule: ribosomal RNA, 471 nt
Filed under: uncultured organism
Description: partial 16S ribosomal RNA
Rfam family: Bacterial small subunit ribosomal RNA
Source: RNAcentral
ACUCCUACGGGAGGCAGCAGUGGGGAAUUUUGGACAAUGGGCGAAAGCCUGAUCCAGCAAUGCCGCGUGAGUGAAGAAGGCCUUCGGGUUGUAAAGCUCUUUUGUCAGGGAAGAAACGGUGAGAGCUAAUAUCUCUUGCUAAUGACGGUACCUGAAGAAUAAGCACCGGCUAACUACGUGCCAGCAGCCGCGGUAAUACGUAGGGUGCAAGCGUUAAUCGGAAUUACUGGGCGUAAAGCGUGCGCAGGCGGUUUUGUAAGUCUGAUGUGAAAUCCCCGGGCUCAACCUGGGAAUUGCAUUGGAGACUGCAAGGCUAGAAUCUGGCAGAGGGGGGUAGAAUUCCACGUGUAGCAGUGAAAUGCGUAGAUAUGUGGAGGAACACCGAUGGCGAAGGCAGCCCCCUGGGUCAAGAUUGACGCUCAUGCACGAAAGCGUGGGGAGCAAACAGGAUUAGAAACCCCGGUAGUCCCA